Massospora cicadina is the source of this 73-nucleotide non-coding RNA. Lineage: Eukaryota; Fungi; Entomophthoromycota; Entomophthoromycetes; Entomophthorales; Entomophthoraceae. The record is from the annotation of a GenBank genome assembly.
GCUUUUUUAGUGUAUUGGUUAUCACAUCUGCCUUACAAGCAGAAGGCCUUUGGUUCGAUCCCGAACAAAAGCA